CAGUCGCCACGGGAAUACGAAGGGGGCUAGCGUUGCUCGGAAUGACUGGGCGUAAAGGGCGCGUAGGCGGUUUUGACAGUCAGAUGUGAAAUUCCUGGGCUUAACCUGGGGGCUGCAUUUGAGACGUCAAGACUAGAGUGUGAGAGAGGGUUGUGGAAUUCCCAGUGUAGAGGUGAAAUUCGUAGAUAUUGGGAAGAACACCGGUGGCGGAGGCGGCAACCUGGCUCAUUACUGACGCUGAGGCGCGAAAGCGUGGGGAGCAAACAGGAUUAGAUACCCCCGUAGUCCCUGUCUCUUAUAC
This 301-nucleotide ribosomal RNA is filed under the name uncultured bacterium. Its description in RNAcentral is "partial 16S ribosomal RNA". It matches the Rfam family "Bacterial small subunit ribosomal RNA", at positions 509 to 807 of the family's 1533-position model. The record is from RNAcentral.